CAGGACGAACGCUGGCGGCGUGCUAAACACAUGCAAGUCGAACGAUGAAGCCCAGCUUGCUGGGUGGAAGAGUGGCGAACGGGUGAGUAACACGUGAGUAACCUGCCCUGAACUCUGGGAUAAGCACUGGAAACGGUGUCUAAUACUGGAUACGACCUAUCACCGCAUGGUGUGUGGGUGGAAAGAUUUAUCGGUUUUGGAUGGACUCGCGGCCUAUCAGCUAGAUGGUGAGGUAAUGGCUCACCAUGGCGACGACGGGUAGCCGGCCUGAGAGGGUGACCGGCCACACUGGGACUGAGACACGGCCCAGACUCCUACGGGAGGCAGCAGUGGGGAAUAUUGCACAAUGGGCGCAAGCCUGAUGCAGCAACGCCGCGUGAGGGAUGACGGCCUUCGGGUUGUAAACCUCUUUUAGUAGGGAAGAAGCGAAAGUGACGGUACCUGCAGAAAAAGCACCGGCUAACUACGUGCCAGCAGCCGCGGUAAUACGUAGGGUGCAAGCGUUGUCCGGAAUUAUUGGGCGUAAAGAGCUCGUAGGCGGCUUGUCGCGUCUGCUGUGAAAUCCCGGGGCUCAACCCCGGGCCUGCAGUGGGUACGGGCAAGCUAGAGUGCGGUAGGGGAGAUUGGAAUUCCUGGUGUAGCGGUGGAAUGCGCAGAUAUCAGGAGGAACACCGAUGGCGAAGGCAGAUCUCUGGGCCGCUACUGACGCUGAGGAGCGAAAGCAUGGGGAGCGAACAGGAUUAGAUACCCUGGUAGUCCAUGCCGUAAACGUUGGGAACAAGGUGUAGGGCCUGUUCCACGGGUUCUGUGUCGUAGCUAACGCAUUAAGU
This 830-nucleotide ribosomal RNA is filed under the name Leucobacter aridicollis. Its description in RNAcentral is "bacterial SSU rRNA". It matches the Rfam family "Bacterial small subunit ribosomal RNA", at positions 25 to 865 of the family's 1533-position model. The record is from RNAcentral. Lineage: Bacteria; Bacillati; Actinomycetota; Actinomycetes; Micrococcales; Microbacteriaceae.